UCCUGCUUCGGUGUUCUGUUUCUUUCCCGUCUUUCUUCGUCGUUCUUCUUCGUUCUUAGGUGUCUCCGUGGUCCGCUUCGCUUCCCCAACUUCCAAAUUGCGAGCUCGGAGCACGGAUCAGAUCGCCGAGUCGCGCGCCCCUCGCCCCCCGCUCCAUCCCACUUCGUCCGGAGCCUCAGGUUUGGUUCGCUCCCCGCACUGAAUUCUCGAGGUCUAUUCGUGUUUCUUGUGAGGCGAUUUCGUCUCGUUACUGGACUAUUUGUUCGGUUGUUUCGUUAGUUUACCGCUGUGCUUUGAUCCGAUUCGGCCCUGAUGCAUCUCCGGCCGAAACGAGGGCAUCUUCCCGGCGACUUUUGGGUACCCUGUAUGACUUUUUCGUAGGCGUGUUAAGAAAAUCAGAGCUAGGGUUUGUGCUGGAGAUGUUCGAUCCGGUAGCCUGAAUGCGAUUCUGGUAUUUACCUGGUGAAUGGAUGCUGUUGCUGCCUGUGAUAUAGCGAGGAGGCGUGAUUGGUUAGUCCAGCAUUUAAUUUGUACUAGCAUACACGGAUGAGAGCAUAGAAAUGCAUAGUUAAGUAUUCCGACAGCCCAUCGCACUGUAAUAGGGGCACUACUGCAGUGCUACUGGAUUGAGCGAGGAGUAUCAUGUCAGGCUUUCAGCCAUUCCAAUCAGAUUUGGCUGGGUGAGCAUUGCAAUUCUGCAGGUGUAGUACGGUACAAAUUUGAUAUUUUCUGCAGCUGUGUUAGAAUAAAAUAGAAUGUAUCGAUGCAAGAUUGGUUGCUUCACUUUUGUUACUCCAGAUAUAAUGCCAUAGCGAAAUUAGCAUCUUGAUCUCCAUGUUUGAUACUGUAGGAGGUGCUGCAAGUAAGGGCUCAAUGUGUAGCCUAUUGAUUUUUACUUCAUUGUGUUAUGGUAGAUAGGUUAGUGUGUGUUUUGUUCAAACUGCUACAUCUUGAUACAGAUUCCGGACUUGAGUACUGGGUACAACUCUGUGGCCCUGUUUCCUAUAUCAUCUAUCACAGGUUUAGUUAUUAAAAAAUAAUCUCACAAACAUUUCACAUGUCCUGAUACUGUUCAAAGUAGAAAACCAUUCAUGCUUUUAUUUUUGUUCAAGGUAAAAAAAAAAAACGGUUCAUACAUAGAAUCAGUUCAUGCUUUGCACGGAUAUUGAAAUAAAAGCUCCGUUCAUGCGUUUAUUUAUGUUCAAGGUAGAAAACCGUUCAUCUUGACAAAGGAUAUUGAAAUAAAAGCUGCGUUCAUGCGUUUAUUUAUGCUCAAGGUAGAAAGCUGUUAAUUCCAAGAAUGCGUUCAUGCUUUGCAUUUUUAUUUAAGGUACGAAACCGUUCAUUCCAAGAAUCGUUCAUGCUUUUAUUUUUGUUCAAGGUAGGUAAACCGUUCAUUCCAAGAAUCCUGUCAUGCUUUUAUUUUUGUUCAAGGUAGGUAAACCGUUCAUUCGAAGAAUCUGCAUGCUUUUAUUUAUAUUCAAGGUAGAAAGCCGCUAAUGCCAAGAAUCCGUUCAUGCUUGGAUUUAUAUGUUCCUUGUACGAAAUCGUUCAUGCCAAGAAUCCGUUCAUGCUUGCAUUUUUGUUCAAGGUAUGAAACCGUUCAUUCCAAGAAUCCAUUCAUAAUUUUAUUUUUGUUCAAGGUACGAAACCGUUCAUUCCAAAAAUCCGUUCAUGCUUUUAUUUUUGUUCAAGGAAGAAAACCGCUCAUGCCAAGAAUCUGUUCAUGCUUUUAAUUUAUGUUCAAGGUAGAAAACCUUUAAUUCCAAGAAUACGUUCAUGGUUUAGUUUUUUGUUCAAGGUUGAAAACCGUUCAUGCUCGUAUUUUAUGGUCAAGCUACCAAAGCCAUUCAUGCUUGCAUUUAUGUUCACGGUUCGAAACCAUUCAUUCAAGAAUCCGUUCAUGCUUUUAUUUCUGUUGAAGGUAGAAAAUAGUUCAUGCCAACGAUCCGUUCAUGCUCGUAUUUAUGGUCAAGGUAGGAAACCGUUCAUGCCAAAAAUUUGUUCAUGCAUUAUUUAAUGUUGAAGCUAUCAAAACUGUUCAUGCCAAGAUUUUGUUCAUUCUUGUAUUUAAGGUCAAGGUAGGAAAUCAUUAAUGAGAAGAAUUCGUUCAUGCUUAUAUUUUAUGGUCAAGGUAGAAAACCGUUCAUUCCGAAAAAAAUUGUGUAAGCUUUUAUUUAUGUUCAAGGCACCGCUCAUGCGAAAGAAUCAGUUAAUGAUUCUUUUCCAAGGUAUGAAACCGUUCAUUCCAAGAAUCCGAUCAUGCUUUUAUUUUUUGUUCAAGAUAGAAAACCGUUCAUGCCAAUAAUUCGUUCAUGCUUUUAUUUUUGUUCAAGGUAGAAAACAGUUCAUUCCAAGAAUCCGUUCAUGCUCGCAUUUAUGUUUAAGGGUCCACACCUUCUUCAUUGACCAAAGUUCACAUCCUCCGAGCAGGAAGAGAUGAUAUAUCAUAAAAAUAUUUCAUAAGGGAAAGGAACAGAACACAAGCAUGGAAAUGCUUCUCCUACAAGGCAAGGAGAUUCACAGAUCAUUCGGAAGGAAAGCAUCGAAAACGAGUUUCCAAGUGAUAAACAUGAAUUCUGUGUACCCAGACAGAAAAAUGUUUUGUCCCUAUUUGUCACAUUUUGACAGUUUUUUCUCAUUGAUGUGUAUUACGUGCUAUACAAACGGGGAAGAAUCAGUACAGUUCACUUUUA
This is a long non-coding RNA of Lolium perenne, 2696 nucleotides long. RefSeq lists it as uncharacterized. Lineage: Eukaryota; Viridiplantae; Streptophyta; Magnoliopsida; Poales; Poaceae. The record is from RefSeq and is a predicted model, not a curated record.